RNAcentral lists this ribosomal RNA (826 nucleotides) under Tesserodoniella elguetai. Its description in RNAcentral is "SSU rRNA". It matches the Rfam family "Eukaryotic small subunit ribosomal RNA", at positions 470 to 1255 of the family's 1831-position model. The record is from RNAcentral. RNAcentral also lists the same sequence under 1 other name. Lineage: Eukaryota; Metazoa; Arthropoda; Insecta; Coleoptera; Scarabaeidae.
ACGAAAAAUAACGAUACGGGACUCAUCCGAGGCCCCGUAAUCGGAAUGAGUACACUCUAAACCCUUUAACGAGGAUCAAUUGGAGGGCAAGUCUGGUGCCAGCAGCCGCGGUAAUUCCAGCUCCAAUAGCGUAUAUUAAAGUUGUUGCGGUUAAAAAGCUCGUAGUCGAAUUUGUGUCCCGCGCCGCCGGUUCAUCGCUCGCGGUGUCAACUGGCGUGUCCGCGGGACGUCCUGCCGGUGGGCUUAGCCCCUGUGGGCGGCCCAAUCUCAAUCCCACCGCGGUGCUCUUCACUGAGUGUCGAGGUGGGCCGGCACGUUUACUUUGAACAAAUUAGAGUGCUUAAAGCAGGCUAAAACAUCGCCUGAAUACUGUGUGCAUGGAAUAAUGGAAUAGGACCUCGGUUCUAUUUUGUUGGUUUUCGGAACCCCGAGGUAAUGAUUAAUAGGAACGGAUGGGGGCAUUCGUAUUGCGACGUUAGAGGUGAAAUUCUUGGAUCGUCGCAAGACGGACAGAAGCGAAAGCAUUUGCCAAAAACGCUUUCAUUGAUCAAGAACGAAAGUUAGAGGUUCGAAGGCGAUCAGAUACCGCCCUAGUUCUAACCAUAAACGAUGCCAGCUAGCGAUCCGCCGACGUUCCUCCGAUGACUCGGCGGGCAGCUUCCGGGAAACCAAAGCUUUUGGGUUCCGGGGGAAGUAUGGUUGCAAAGCUGAAACUUAAAGGAAUUGACGGAAGGGCACCACCAGGAGUGGAGCCUGCGGCUUAAUUUGACUCAACACGGGAAACCUCACCAGGCCCGGACACCGGAAGGAUUGACAGAUUGAGAGC